RNAcentral lists this ribosomal RNA (430 nucleotides) under Acidobacteriota bacterium. Its description in RNAcentral is "Acidobacteria bacterium partial 16S ribosomal RNA". It matches the Rfam family "Bacterial small subunit ribosomal RNA", at positions 355 to 776 of the family's 1533-position model. Lineage: Bacteria; Pseudomonadati; Acidobacteriota. The record is from RNAcentral.
UGGGGAAUAUUGGACAAUGGGGGGAACCCUGAUCCAGCCAUGCCGCGCGUGUGAAGAAGGCCUUUUGGUUGUAAAGCACUUUAAGCGAGGAGGAGGCUACCGAGAUUAAUACUCUUGGAUAGUGGACGUUACUCGCAGAAUAAGCACCGGCUAACUCUGUGCCAGCAGCCGCGGUAAUACAGAGGGUGCAAGCGUUAAUCGGAUUUACUGGGCGUAAAGCGCGCGUAGGUGGCCAAUUAAGUCAAAUGUGAAAUCCCCGAGCUUAACUUGGGAAUUGCAUUCGAUACUGGUUGGCUAGAGUAUGGGAGAGGAUGGUAGAAUUCCAGGUGUAGCGGUGAAAUGCGUAGAGGUCUGGAGGAAUACCGAUGGCGAAGGCAGCCAUCUGGCCUAAUACUGACACUGAGGUGCGAAAGCAUGGGAAGCAAACAGG